GGAGUCGUGGUGUAGUUGGUUAACACACCGGACUGUCACUCCGGAGAUCGCGGGUUCGAGUCCCGUCGACUCCGCCA
RNAcentral lists this transfer RNA (77 nucleotides) under Acidobacteriota bacterium. RNAcentral describes it as "Acidobacteria bacterium tRNA-Asp". It matches the Rfam family "tRNA". Rfam says of the family: Transfer RNA (tRNA) molecules are approximately 80 nucleotides in length. Lineage: Bacteria; Pseudomonadati; Acidobacteriota. RNAcentral also lists the same sequence under 1 other name. The record is from RNAcentral.